Molecule: transfer RNA, 68 nt
Filed under: Daphoenositta chrysoptera (varied sittella)
Lineage: Eukaryota; Metazoa; Chordata; Aves; Passeriformes
Description: tRNA-Val
Rfam family: tRNA
About the family: Transfer RNA (tRNA) molecules are approximately 80 nucleotides in length. Their secondary structure includes four short double-helical elements and three loops (D, anti-codon, and T loops).
Source: RNAcentral
CGAGAUGUAGCUUAACAAAGCAUUCAGCUUACACCUGAAAGAUAUCUGAUAACACCAGAUCGUCUCGA